This 328-nucleotide ribosomal RNA is filed under the name uncultured eukaryote. Its description in RNAcentral is "partial 18S ribosomal RNA". It matches the Rfam family "Eukaryotic small subunit ribosomal RNA", at positions 1470 to 1796 of the family's 1831-position model. The record is from RNAcentral.
CCCUUAGAUGUCCUGGGCCGCACGCGCGUUACACUGAUGCACUCAACGAGCAUAUAACCUUGGCCGAGAGGCCUGGGUAAUCUUGUUAACAUGCAUCGUGAUAGGGAUAGAUUAUUGCAAUUAUUAAUCUUGAACGAGGAAUUCCUAGUAAACGCAGAUCAUCAAUCUGCAUUGAUUACGUCCCUGCCCUUUGUACACACCGCCCGUCGCACCUACCGAUUGGAUGGUCCGGUGAAGCCUCGGGAUUGUGGUUCUUGCCGCUUUAUUGUGGCGUGACCGCGAGAACUUGUCUAAACCUUAUCAUCUAGAGGAAGGUGAAGUCGUANCG